Molecule: ribosomal RNA, 805 nt
Filed under: uncultured bacterium
Lineage: Bacteria
Description: bacterial SSU rRNA
Rfam family: Bacterial small subunit ribosomal RNA
Source: RNAcentral
GAAUUCGCCCUUAGAGUUUGAUCCUGGCUCAGGAUGAACGCUGGCGGCGUGCCUAACACAUGCAAGUCGAGCGAUUCUCUUCGGAGAAGAGCGGCGGACGGGUGAGUAACGCGUGGGUAACCUGCCCUGUACACACGGAUAACAUACCGAAAGGUAUGCUAAUACGAGAUAAUAUGCUUUUAUCGCAUGGUAGAAGUAUCAAAGCUUUUGCGGUACAGGAUGGACCCGCGUCUGAUUAGCUAGUUGGUAAGGUAACGGCUUACCAAGGCGACGAUCAGUAGCCAACCUGAGAGGGUGAUCGGCCACAUUGGAACUGAGACACGGUCCAAACUCCUACGGGAGGCAGCAGUGGGGAAUAUUGCACAAUGGGCGAAAGCCUGAUGCAGCAACGCCGCGUGAGCGAUGAAGGCCUUCGGGUCGUAAAGCUCUGUCCUCAAGGAAGAUAAUGACGGUACUUGAGGAGGAAGCCCCGGCUAACUACGUGCCAGCAGCCGCGGUAAUACGUAGGGGCUAGCGUUAUCCGGAUUUACUGGGUGUAAAGGGAGCGUAGACGGAAUGGCAAGUCUGAUGUGAAAGGCCGGGGCUCAACCCCGGGACUGCAUUGGAAACUGUCAAUCUAGAGUACCGGAGGGGUAAGUGGAAUUCCUAGUGUAGCGGUGAAAUGCGUAGAUAUUAGGAGGAACACCAGUGGCGAAGGCGGCUUACUGGACGGUAACUGACGUUGAGGCUCGAAAGCGUGGGGAGCAAACAGGAUUAGAUACCCUGGUAGUCCACGCCGUAAACGAUGAAUAUUAGGUGUUGGGGG